This 468-nucleotide ribosomal RNA is filed under the name uncultured bacterium. Its description in RNAcentral is "partial 16S ribosomal RNA". It matches the Rfam family "Bacterial small subunit ribosomal RNA", at positions 28 to 507 of the family's 1533-position model. The record is from RNAcentral.
GACGAACGCUGGCGGCGUGCUUAACACAUGCAAGUCGAACGGCAAGGCCCUGCUUUUUUGGGGUUCUCGAGGGGCGAACGGGUGAGUAACACGUGAGUAACCUGCCCUUGACUUUGGGAUAACUUCAGGAAACUGGGGCUAAUACCGGAUAGGAGCUCCUGCUGCAUGGUGGGGGUUGGAAAUUUUCGGCGGGUGGGGAUGGACUCGCGGCUUAUCAGCUUGUUGGUGGGGGAGUGGCUUACCAAGGCUUUGGCGGGUAGCCGGCAUGAGAGGGUGACCGGCCACAUUGGGACUGAGAUACGGCGCAGACUGCUACGGGAGGCAGCAGUGGGGAAUAUUGCACAAUGGGCGGAAGCCUGAUGCAGCAACGCCGCGUGCGGGAUGACGGCCUUCGGGUUGUAAACCGCUUUCGCCUGUGACGAAGCGUGAGUGACGGUAAUGGGUAAAGAAGCACCGGCUAACUACGUG